AGAGUUUGAUCAUGGCUCAGAGCGAACGCUGGCGGCGUGCUUAACACAUGCAAGUCGAACGGAAAGGUCUCUUCGGAGAUACUCGAGUGGCGAACGGGUGAGUAACACGUGGGUGAUCUGCCCUGCACUUCGGGAUAAGCCUGGGAAACUGGGUCUAAUACCGGAUAGGACCAUGAGAUGCAUGUCUUAUGGUGGAAAGC
RNAcentral lists this ribosomal RNA (200 nucleotides) under uncultured bacterium. RNAcentral describes it as "partial 16S ribosomal RNA". It matches the Rfam family "Bacterial small subunit ribosomal RNA", at positions 8 to 208 of the family's 1533-position model. The record is from RNAcentral.